Molecule: transfer RNA, 72 nt
Filed under: Bacteroidota bacterium
Lineage: Bacteria; Pseudomonadati; Bacteroidota
Also listed under: 3 other names
Description: Bacteroidetes bacterium tRNA-Thr
Rfam family: tRNA
About the family: Transfer RNA (tRNA) molecules are approximately 80 nucleotides in length. Their secondary structure includes four short double-helical elements and three loops (D, anti-codon, and T loops).
Source: RNAcentral
GCCGAUAUAGCUCAGAGGUAGAGCACUUCCAUGGUAAGGAAGGGGUCGUCGGUUCAAUUCCGACUAUCGGCU